Molecule: ribosomal RNA, 510 nt
Filed under: uncultured bacterium
Lineage: Bacteria
Description: bacterial SSU rRNA
Rfam family: Bacterial small subunit ribosomal RNA
Source: RNAcentral
GAUCCUGGCUCAGGAUGAACGCUAGCGGCAGGCUUAACACAUGCAAGUCGAGGGGCAUCGGGAGUAGCAAUACUUGCCGGCGACCGGCGCAAGGGUGCGUAACGCGUGAGCAACAUGCCCGUAUCAGGGGGAUAAUCCAUGGAAACGUGGUCUAAUACCCCAUAGUAAUUAUGUAAGGCAUCUUAUAUAAUUUUAAAGCUUUGGUGGAUACGGAUUGGCUCGCGUGACAUUAGCUGGAUGGUAAGGUAACGGCUUACCAUGGCUACGAUGUCUAGGGGUUCUGAGAGGAAGGUCCCCCACACUGGAACUGAGACACGGUCCAGACUCCUACGGGAGGCAGCAGUGAGGAAUAUUGGACAAUGGAUGGAAAUCUGAUCCAGCCAUGCCGCGUGACAGGAAGACGGCCCUAUGGGUUGUAAACUGCUUUUGUAUGGGAGCAAUAAGGGCUACGUGUAGUCCGAUGAGAGUACCAUACGAAUAAGCACCGGCUAACUCCGUGCCAGCCGCAGC